Poeciliopsis prolifica (blackstripe livebearer) is the source of this 1596-nucleotide long non-coding RNA. RefSeq lists it as uncharacterized. The transcript has 3 exons. NCBI's taxonomy places the organism in Eukaryota, Metazoa, Chordata, Actinopteri, Cyprinodontiformes, Poeciliidae. The record is from RefSeq and is a predicted model, not a curated record.
AUUCCAAAACGGCAAGCGACAUAUCCAGCAGCUGCAUCCGACUACUUGCCUUGCAAGUUUUGCUUUGCUAUGUAUGUCAAAUCAGAUCUCUGGAGACAUCAUAAGCGCUACAAACUUCGCUCAAAAGAAGGCAUUGCCACAAGAAAGGUUCAGGCAAGUUCUUCCAUGUUGCUGCUCACGGACACUGUGAUUUCCACUGGACUUCAGACGGUUCUCCAGGAAAUGAACUAUGACAAUGUAACUCAAUUAGUAAAGGCUGACUCCCUUAUUAUUUCACUGGGUGAGAGAAUGUUCCUCAAAAAUGGAGAAGUUGGACGGCAUCGAGCAGACAUCAGAAAUAAGAUGAGGGAACUUGCCAGACUUGUUCUGACAGCAAGAAAUAUUGACAAAGACAUUGUCUUUUUGAAGGACUUGAUCUGUCCAGGAAAAUUCAACACAGUCAUCGAGGCUGUAAAACAGAUGACUGGCUUUAAUGCAGCUUCCAACAGGUUCACAGUGCCCUCAACUGCACUGAAACUGAGGCAUUCUCUUGUGAAAGUGUCAUGUAUUUUGCAAGGAGAGGCGCUGCGUCAAGAGAAUCCUGAUUUAAGAACAAAGCACAGCAAUUUAACGAGUUAAUUUCAAUGGAAUGGUCAACACUUGUGUCAUCUAAUGCCCUGAAAACACUGUAUCAGAAGAAAUGGAAUAUGCCACAAAUACUGCCUUUGUCAGAAGACAUCAAAAAGCUCCACGACCAUCUGAGAAACCUUGAGAUAGUCCACAAAAGAAAUCUCAAUGAUCAGCCAACACAACAUUCAUGGAGUCAACUCUCUCAAGUCACUCUGACACAGCUCAUACUGUUCAAUCGCCGUCGUGCAGGAGAAGUCUCAAGAAUGGAACUCAAGACAUAUUUAGAAAAGGAGCACACACAGCAUGCACGAUGAAGUUUUGGAGAGCCUUUCAGCAUUUGAAAAAAAACUUUGUGAGAAUCUCACCAGAUAGAGAUACGGGGAAAAAGGGGCCGCAAAGUGCCUGUGCUGUUCACAAAAAAUAUAAAAGAGUCUGUGGAUCUUCUGAUUAAAACGAGAAGAGGCUGGAAUCUCCUCCACCAAUCCCUACAUUUUUGCUCGUCUAUUUUUCGGAUCCCAAGAGAGCAUUCGUGGAUGUGACUGCUUAAAAAGGUUUUGCAGAAAGCUCUGGAGCUCAACAACCACAGAAUCUCACCUCAACCAAACUACGGAAGCAUGUAGCUACAGUUUCACAACUCUUAAACCUACAAAACAAUGACUAGACCAGCUGGCAACGUUCAUGGGCCAUGACUUGGACACAACAAGGAAUAUUACAGACUGCCUGAAGAAACACUCCAACUGGCAAAAAUCAGCAACUUCUUCUUGCUCUCCAAGGUGGGAUGAGCAAAUUUAAAGGGAAAUCCCUAGAAGAGAUUACACCAGACAUCAACUCUGGAGACUCCAGUGACUCAGAUGCAGACGUCCAAAACUGAGGAGCGGUUAACAACAGUCAAAAAGAAACUUCCAAGGUUGAUCACUGCAAAGUGAGACCAUCAUCCAAAGCGACUGAGGGCAGUAAAAGGGCAUCAUGUCCAUCAAGUCCAAAAGG